GGAGAAGACAAUAACCCUUAAAUGGUAUUAUAGACCAGCAUUAGGAAAGGCAGAGGAGAAGACAAGAACCCUUAAAUGGUAUUAUAGACCAGCAUUAGGAAAGGCAGAGGAGAAGACAAUAACCCUUAAAUGGUAUUAUAGACCAGCAUUAGGAAAGGCAGAGGAGAAGACAAUAACCCUUAAAUGGUAUUAUAGACCAGCAUUAUUAUUAUAACGUUGUGUCCAUAUAACUUGACAAACAUUCAGUUCUCAUCUGGGUUGAUACUUUGGAUCAUUGUUCUCAAACUGAUCUGGAGUAUUCAAGUCAAAACAUAAAUACAAAUCAACUUUCAAGUGAGCCUCCGCUAUGUGAAGAAUAUUACCCAUGAGCCUUUGGGGGCAUUGCGAUGAUGGUUCGCUGUAGGUCCCAAAUGGCACCUUAUUCCCUAUAUAGUGUACCACUGUUGACCAGAGCCUUAUUCCCUAUAUAGUGUCUAUGGGCCCAGGUCAAAAGUAGGGCACUAUAUAGGGAAUAGGGUGCUAUUUGGGAGGCAAUCUAGAUCUCAGAGAGUCGUGGGGGGAAGAUGCGGCGUAGGGGAGGCCUCGCGGUCUUGUUGCCACGGCGAAGAGACUCUAGCUCCCGAUGGGUAGCCAUCACUACCCGACUGAAAGAGAGGGAUGAAGGAGGGAGAGAUAGAGAUGGAGGGAGGAAAGAAAAGAGGGAGAGAAAAGGAGAAAAGAGAAGGAUGGGGGAGGGAGAGAGAGAUGGAGGGAGGAAAGAAAAGAGGGGGAGAAAAGAGAAGGAUGGGGGAGGGAGAGAUAGAGAUGGAGGGAGGAAAGAAAAGAGGGAGAGAAAAGGAGAAGAGAGAAGGUUUAGGUAGGAGAGUUCUCUGAUCAGGCCACAGACCAGUUCUGUAGCGUCUUCAUGCCCUUCCUCUUUCUCCUCUUCCUCUUUCUCACUAGUUAAGGGGAAGAGAGAGACAGAGAAUGGCACCAUUCCCUAUAUAAUGCACUACUUUCGACGAGGGCCAUAUGUGCACUAUAUGGGGAAUAAGGGGGCAUCGUAGGCUUCAAAACAAGCCAAUACAAAGUUAUAAAAUAGUGUACUGGUUCUAGGAAGAUGGAUAAAUGUAUCUGACCAGUAGUGUUACUGAAACCAGAUGAAAUAUCUAGAUCAGUGGUUAUCGUUGGGUACUGCAGGUGGUAUAUCUAGAUCAGUGGUUAUCGCUGGGUACUGCAGGUGGUAUAUCUAGAUCAGUGGUUGUCAUUGGGUACUGCAGGUGGUAUAUCUAGAUCAGUGGUUGUCGUUGGGUACUGCAGGUGGUAUAUCUAGAUCAGUGGUUAUCGCUGGGUACUGCAGGUGGUAUAUCUAGAUCAGUGGUUGUCGUUGGGUACUGCAGGUGGUAUAUCUAGAUCAGUGGUUAUCGCUGGGUACUGCAGGUGGUAUAUCUAGAUCAGUGGUUAUCGCUGGGUACUGCAGGUGGUAUAUCUAGAUCAGUGGUUAUCGCUG
Molecule: long non-coding RNA, 1489 nt
Organism: Oncorhynchus tshawytscha (Chinook salmon)
Lineage: Eukaryota; Metazoa; Chordata; Actinopteri; Salmoniformes; Salmonidae
Source: Ensembl